AGCGAACGCUGGCGGCAGGCCUAACACAUGCAAGUCGAACGGACCCUUCGGGGUUAGUGGCGGACGGGUGAGUAACACGUGGGAACGUGCCUUUAGGUUCGGAAUAGCUCCUGGAAACGGGUGGUAAUGCCGAAUGUGCCCUUCGGGGGAAAGAUUUAUCGCCUUUAGAGCGGCCCGCGUCUGAUUAGCUAGUUGGUGAGGUAACGGCUCACCAAGGCGACGAUCAGUAGCUGGUCUGAGAGGAUGACCAGCCACACUGGGACUGAGACACGGCCCAGAUUCCUACGGGAGGCAGCAGUGGGGAAUCUUGCGCAAUGGGCGAAAGCCUGACGCAGCCAUGCCGCGUGAAUGAUGAAGGUCUUAGGAUUGAAAAAUUCUUUCACCGGGGACGAUAAUGACGGUACCCGGAGAAGAAGCCCCGGCUAACUUCGUG
This 433-nucleotide ribosomal RNA is filed under the name uncultured bacterium. Its description in RNAcentral is "partial 16S ribosomal RNA". It matches the Rfam family "Bacterial small subunit ribosomal RNA", at positions 29 to 507 of the family's 1533-position model. The record is from RNAcentral.